GGGAGGCAGCAGUGGGGAAUAUUGCACAAUGGGCGCAAGCCUGAUGCAGCCAUGCCGCGUGUAUGAAGAAGGCCUUCGGGUUGUAAAGUACUUUCAGCGGGGAGGAAGGGAGUGAGGUUAAUAACCUUAUUCAUUGACGUUACCCGCAGAAGAAGCACCGGCUAACUCCGUGCCAGCAGCCGCGGUAAUACGGAGGGUGCAAGCGUUAAUCGGAAUUACUGGGCGUAAAGCGCACGCAGGCGGUCUGUCAAGUCG
RNAcentral lists this ribosomal RNA (255 nucleotides) under Klebsiella oxytoca. Its description in RNAcentral is "partial 16S ribosomal RNA". It matches the Rfam family "Bacterial small subunit ribosomal RNA", at positions 343 to 590 of the family's 1533-position model. The record is from RNAcentral. Lineage: Bacteria; Pseudomonadati; Pseudomonadota; Gammaproteobacteria; Enterobacterales; Enterobacteriaceae.